GACGAACGCUGGCGGCGUGCUUAACACAUGCAAGUCGAACGGAAAGGCCCUGCUUUUGUGGGGUUCUCGAGUGGCGAACGGGUGAGUAACACGUGAGUAACCUGCCCUUGACUUUGGGAUAACUUCAGGAAACUGGGGCUAAUACCGGAUAGGAGCUCCUGCUGCAUGGUGGGGGUUGGAAAGUUUCGGCGGUUGGGGAUGGACUCGCGGCUUAUCAGCUUGUUGGUGGGGUAGUGGCUUACCAAGGCUUUGACGGGUAGCCGGCCUGAGAGGGUGACCGGCCACAUUGGGACAGAGAUACGGCCAAGACGCAUACGGGAGGCAGCAGUGGGGAAUAUUGCACAAUGGGCGGAAGCCUGAUGCAGCAACGCCGCGUGCGGGAUGACGGCCUUCGGGUAGGAAACCGCUUUCGCCUGUGACGAAGCGUGAGUGACGGUAAUGGGUAAAGAAGCACCGGCAAACUACGU
RNAcentral lists this ribosomal RNA (467 nucleotides) under uncultured bacterium. Its description in RNAcentral is "partial 16S ribosomal RNA". It matches the Rfam family "Bacterial small subunit ribosomal RNA", at positions 28 to 506 of the family's 1533-position model. The record is from RNAcentral.